This 270-nucleotide long non-coding RNA is filed under the name Sorghum bicolor (sorghum). RNAcentral's name for it is "long non-coding RNA (SBIC_LNC003614)". Lineage: Eukaryota; Viridiplantae; Streptophyta; Magnoliopsida; Poales; Poaceae. The record is from RNAcentral.
AUGUUACUUUCUAUUUCUGGACAGAACAGAAAUCAUUUUUCUUUCUCUUUUAAGACAUUCGAUUCUCUUUUCACUUUCUUUUGCUAGAUCACCCAUCCUUAAAUAUUAUUUUUUAUUUUUUUAAGAAGCAUGUGCUCAUAACUUAUAAAACGGAAUUAAAAAACAUAACUUUCACGAUAAACUUAACAGUACUAACUUAGAAGUGCUUGUAGACAACAUAAGUUCAGUUCGAGGAAUAGCUCAACAUUGCUAACUUAGUCGUUCUCAUGC